CAUUAAGAAGCUGAUCUUAAGCAUUAACCUUUUAAGUUAAAGAAAGGGAGUAGUAUCCUCCCCUUAAUGA
Molecule: transfer RNA, 70 nt
Filed under: Scotonycteris zenkeri (Zenker's fruit bat)
Lineage: Eukaryota; Metazoa; Chordata; Mammalia; Chiroptera; Pteropodidae
Description: tRNA-Lys
Source: RNAcentral